UUCGAUGCAACGCGAAGAACCUACCUGGUCUUGACAUCCCGGAGACCCUUAGGAAACUAAGGGGGUGGCUUCCAUCUGGAAGAAUCUGGAGACAGGUGCUGCAUGGCUGUCGUCAGCUCGUGUCGUGAGAUGUUGGGUUAAGUCCCGCAACGAGCGCAACCCUUGCCUUUAGUUGCCAGCAGUUCGGCUGGGCACUCUAAAGGGACUGCCGGUGUUAAACCGGAGGAAGGUGGGGAUGACGUCAAGUCCUCAUGGCCUUUAUGACCAGGGCUACACACGUACUACAAUGGCCGAUACAAAGGGCAGCGACACUGCGAGGUGAAGCCAAUCCCGUAAAAUCGGUCUCAGUCCGGAUUGGAGUCUGCAACUCGACUCCAUGAAGUUGGAAUCGCUAGUAAUCGUGGAUCAGCAUGCCACGGUGAAUACGUUCCCGGGCCUU
RNAcentral lists this ribosomal RNA (439 nucleotides) under uncultured Desulfobulbus sp. RNAcentral's name for it is "bacterial SSU rRNA". It matches the Rfam family "Bacterial small subunit ribosomal RNA", at positions 950 to 1382 of the family's 1533-position model. The record is from RNAcentral. Lineage: Bacteria; Pseudomonadati; Thermodesulfobacteriota; Desulfobulbia; Desulfobulbales; Desulfobulbaceae.